Molecule: ribosomal RNA, 253 nt
Filed under: uncultured bacterium
Lineage: Bacteria
Description: partial 16S ribosomal RNA
Rfam family: Bacterial small subunit ribosomal RNA
Source: RNAcentral
UACGGAGGUGGCAAGCGUUGCUCGGAAUCACUGGGCGUAAAGGGCGCGUAGGCGGGGAGGUAAGUCGGGUGUGAAAUCCCUCGGCCCAACCGAGGAACUGCGCCCGAGACUGCUUCUCUUGAGUCCCGGAGAGGAAGAUGGAAUUCCCGGUGUAGCGGUGAAAUGUGUAGAGAUCGGGAGGAACACCGGUGGCGAAGGCGGUCUUCUGGACGGUGACUGAUGCUGAGGCGCGAAAGCGUGGGGAGCAAACGGG